Molecule: long non-coding RNA, 1322 nt
Organism: Spodoptera litura
Lineage: Eukaryota; Metazoa; Arthropoda; Insecta; Lepidoptera; Noctuidae
Source: RefSeq, a predicted model, not a curated record
CUUUUUCACUUGGAACGUACGACAGUGUGGACGUCUUGAGUCGUCUUGCGUCUUGUCCAAUAUUUAAUUCAGUUACCGGCAAACUAUUGUUAUCUGUGACAACACCGUUGCACCGAUUACCCUAGUCAUGGUCAUUAUGAGCCCCUGUUGCAGCUUGAAAUUGGUUGAGCUACCUAGAACAUUCCUUACUGUGGAGUUUAUGUGGAAGAUCAUUGCAUUGCAACUUGAACCAAGAUGAAAGUCACUUAGAAGAUUAUUCUGGUGCUUUUGAAGUCAUUAUGUCGCCAUCAUCACUAUGAUACUAGCAGUGCAAGCUAUCUUCGCAUCCAAAUUCUGCCAGCCACAUUGGAUAUUGUCCCCCUACCUAGCUGGAGGGCACCCUGUUUGCCUAGACCUGGUCUCCACUCCAGAACAUUCAGUUAUUGGAUCUGCGUUAACAGUUCAGAUUGCUUAUUCAAGUCAAAAUCGAUCGUUUCGUUCAAAAGGAGUCUUUGAAAGUCGAAGUAAUUAUUAUUUAUAUUUAUAAUUUAUAUAUAAAAAAGUAUUUAUUUCAGCAGGUACUUUUGAAUUGUUAAAAAAAAUAGAAUCUGUCAGUCUGUGUCUCGGUCGUUCCAAGGUGUAGUUUUGAUUAUAGAUCAAGCAAGAGACUUAUCAUUACUCUUUUAAAAAAGUGUCGUUGACCAGUCCUAUUAGUGAAGGUAUUUACUUUUUCCAGCGUUGUGUUCUAUGGAGAAGAAUGAGAAUGAAAGACAAUUAAAAAAAUUAAUUAUAUAUUAUGUAUAAUAUUCGUAUGUCUCUGGGCAAAACAUGAAGAAACCUGUAAUACUUCACAUUAUCUAUGUUUACAAAUAAAAAUUUUGAUUCUGAUUCUGUAGUGUCGUUGGUCAGUCCUCUUAGUGAAGCUAUUUGCUUUUUCCAGCGUUGUGUUCUUUGGAGAAGAAUGAGAAUGGAUCUCAAUCGUUACUCUUUAAAAAAGUGUCAUUGGUCAGACUUAUAGUUUUGCACUUUCCAGCAUUGUGUUCUAUAGAAAAUGAUUACACCUUUUCAACCAUUUGCAUAAUCUCUGGUUAUAUUAUUAAUAAUCUGAAACAUAGAUAAAAGAUACGAAAAAUAAUAAUAAAUAGUCAGUGUGUUUGUUGAAAUGUACAAAUUUGGUGUCUUGCAAGUCCCGAGUGGACAGGUUGGUCAUUUAUUUAUUUAUUUAUUUACAUAUUUAUUAUUCAUAAACCCAUACAUAAGUAGGCAUGCUUCAUCGUCGUUUUUUUCUUCUCUUAUAAUAUCUUCUGAUUCACUUCGUUGCGGGUACCAAGACAGUUGUUCAU